RNAcentral lists this ribosomal RNA (497 nucleotides) under uncultured bacterium. Its description in RNAcentral is "bacterial SSU rRNA". It matches the Rfam family "Bacterial small subunit ribosomal RNA", at positions 396 to 911 of the family's 1533-position model. The record is from RNAcentral.
GCCGCGUGAGCGAUGAAGGCCUUCGGGUCGUAAAGCUCUGUCCUCAAGGAAGAUAAUGACGGUACUUGAGGAGGAAGCCCCGGCUAACUACGUGCCAGCAGCCGCGGUAAUACGUAGGGGGCUAGCGUUAUCCGGAAUUACUGGGCGUAAAGGGUGCGUAGGUGGUUUCUUAAGUCAGAGGUGAAAGGCUACGGCUCAACCGUAGUAAGCCUUUGAAACUGGGAAACUUGAGUGCAGGAGAGGAGAGUGGAAUUCCUAGUGUAGCGGUGAAAUGCGUAGAUAUUAGGAGGAACACCAGUCGCGAAGGCGGCUCUCUGGACUGUAACUGACACUGAGGCACGAAAGCGUGGGGAGCAAACAGGAUUAGAUACCCUGGUAGUCCACGCCGUAAACGAUGAGUACUAGCUGUCGGAGGUUACCCCCUUCGGUGGCGCAGCUAACGCAUUAAGUACUCCGCCUGGGAAAGUACGCUCGCAAGAGUGAAACUCAAAGGAAUU